UACGUAGGGUGCAAGCGUUAAUCGGAAUUACUGGGCGUAAAGCGUGCGCAGGCGGUUCGCUAAGACCGAUGUGAAAUCCCCGGGCUUAACCUGGGAAUUGCAUUUGUGACUGCCCGGCUAGAGUGUGUCAGAGGAGGGUAGAAUUCCACGUGUAGCAGUGAAAUGCGUAGAUAUGUGGAGGAAUACCGAUGGCGAAGGCAGCCCCCUGGGAUAACACUGACGCUCAUGCACGAAAGCGUGGGGAGCAAACAGG
RNAcentral lists this ribosomal RNA (253 nucleotides) under uncultured bacterium. RNAcentral describes it as "partial 16S ribosomal RNA". It matches the Rfam family "Bacterial small subunit ribosomal RNA", at positions 524 to 776 of the family's 1533-position model. The record is from RNAcentral.